ACCUUCGUAGUGUAACGGUAGCACACUCGGCGCGUAUUCGAGAGGUCCAGGUUCAAGUCCCGGCGUGGGCA
Molecule: transfer RNA, 71 nt
Filed under: Stegodyphus mimosarum
Lineage: Eukaryota; Metazoa; Arthropoda; Arachnida; Araneae; Eresidae
Rfam family: tRNA
About the family: Transfer RNA (tRNA) molecules are approximately 80 nucleotides in length.
Source: Rfam by way of RNAcentral